AACGCACAUUGCACUCCUUGGUAUUCCGAGGAGUAUGCCUGUUUCAGUAUCAUGAGCACUCUCACAACUAACCUUUGGGUGAAAUUGUGGAAUUGGAAUGCGCUGAUUGUAAUAACCAGCCCUUCUAAAAUAUAUUUCAUGACUGUCACCUAACACAGCAGUUUGGCCUAAUAGUUUUGACAUUGAUUUGUCAAAUCUUUGGCUUACAUUUGCUUCAGGUUGUCAGUCUUGAUAAUACAGAAAACUCAUUCAAAUUUUGAUCUGAAAUCAGGUAGGGCUACCCGCUGAACUUAA
This 294-nucleotide unclassified non-coding RNA is filed under the name uncultured Umbelopsis. Its description in RNAcentral is "sequence contains ITS2". The record is from RNAcentral. Lineage: Eukaryota; Fungi; Mucoromycota; Umbelopsidomycetes; Umbelopsidales; Umbelopsidaceae.